Molecule: ribosomal RNA, 446 nt
Filed under: uncultured bacterium
Lineage: Bacteria
Description: SSU rRNA
Rfam family: Bacterial small subunit ribosomal RNA
Source: RNAcentral
AGAGCGAACGCUGGCGGCAGGCUUAACACAUGCAAGUCGAACGCGUGUAGCAAUACACGAGUGGCGCACGGGUGAGUAACGCGUGGGCAUCUGCCUCAUGGUUCGGAAUAACCCCGGGAAACUGGGGCUAAUACCGGAUGGUACCUUCGGGUUAAAGAUUUAUCGCCAUGAGAUGAGCCCGCGUCCGAUUAGCUAGUUGGUGAGGUAACGGCUCACCAAGGCGACGAUCGGUAGCUGGUCUGAGAGGACGAUCAGCCACACUGGGACUGAGACACGGCCCAGACUCCUACGGGAGGCAGCAGUGGGGAAUAUUGGACAAUGGGGGCAACCCUGAUCCAGCCAUGCCGCGUGAGUGAUGAAGGCCCUAGGGUUGUAAAGCUCUUUGUGCGGGAAGAUAAUGACGGUACCGCAAGAAUAAGCCCGGCUAACUUCGUGCCAGCAGCCGC